UACGAAGGGGGCUAGCGUUGCUCGGAAUUACUGGGCGUAAAGCGCACGUAGGCGGUCUUUUAAGUCGGGGGUGAAAUCCUGGAGCUCAACUCCAGAACUGCCUUCGAUACUGGAAGACUUGAGUCCGGGAGAGGUGAGUGGAACUGCGAGUGUAGAGGUGAAAUUCGUAGAUAUUCGCAAGAACACCAGUGGCGAAGGCGGCUCACUGGCCCGGUACUGACGCUGAGGUGCGGAAAGCGUGGGG
This 244-nucleotide ribosomal RNA is filed under the name uncultured bacterium. Its description in RNAcentral is "partial 16S ribosomal RNA". It matches the Rfam family "Bacterial small subunit ribosomal RNA", at positions 524 to 766 of the family's 1533-position model. The record is from RNAcentral.